UAGCUAAAUCCUAGCAACUUCAUAGCAAAUCUGGAAAUGCUAUGAAGUUCAUCUUCUUCCUCAUGCACACGAUGAACAAAUUUCCAGAAAACCAAAAAGAUGUCCAGAAAUCACAAAUAGAUACACCAUUCGAAUCAUCAUUCCAUGCACAUCAAAGAUCAACAAUCAAUUCAUGCAAAAACUUCAUAACAAGCUUGGAUCGAAGGAAAUAAGAUUUGUCACCAAAAC
This 228-nucleotide long non-coding RNA is filed under the name Lathyrus oleraceus (garden pea). RNAcentral's name for it is "Pisum sativum (pea) long non-coding RNA (PSAT_LNC039382)". The record is from RNAcentral. Lineage: Eukaryota; Viridiplantae; Streptophyta; Magnoliopsida; Fabales; Fabaceae.